GAGAGUAGGCGCAGGCGGUUGCAGAUCAGUCAUAGUUACUGGUUUGAGGAAAGUCCGGACUCCCGAAAGACCAAACUUGCUGGAUAACGUCCAGUGCGAGCGAUCGUGAGGAUAGUGCCACAGAAAGAUACCGCCAGGACAAUUAAAAAUUAAAAAUUAAAAAUGUAAAAUGAGCAAUCAAUUUUUAAUUUUUAAUUUUACAUUUUUAAUUGAUCUGGUAAGGGUGCAAAGGUGCGGUAAGAGCGCACCAGCAGUAUCGAGAGGUGCUGGCUCGGUAAACCCCGGUUGGGAGCAAGGCGAUAGGAACUACGGUUGGUCUUUUACCAGUUCCGCUCAAUGAGAGCCGCUUGAGGCGUUUGGUAACAAACGUCCCAGAUAGAUAACUGCCCUCGCAAGAGAACAGAACCCGGCUUAUGUCCUGCUCUCUCCC
This 430-nucleotide RNase P RNA is filed under the name Nostoc flagelliforme FACHB-838. RNAcentral describes it as "RNase P RNA component class A". It matches the Rfam family "Bacterial RNase P class A". From Rfam's summary of the family: Ribonuclease P (RNase P) is a ubiquitous endoribonuclease, found in archaea, bacteria and eukarya as well as chloroplasts and mitochondria. Its best characterised activity is the generation of mature 5'-ends of tRNAs by cleaving the 5'-leader elements of precursor-tRNAs. Lineage: Bacteria; Bacillati; Cyanobacteriota; Cyanophyceae; Nostocales; Nostocaceae. The record is from RNAcentral.